UCCGGACGGGCGCCUAAUCCCGCCGCCGUGCGGAUGUCCGGUCGACGAUGUGGAUCGGCGGGAGCGGAGGACCCGAGCAGAGCGGGGUCCCGGCCUUCACGGCCGAGGGCUCCUUGGGGUGAAGCCGUACAUACGGCCGGGCAUCUUCGCCUGCCCGAACCCGACAGGUCUUCCUUCGCAGGCGGCUGACGAAGGGUUU
This 199-nucleotide small RNA is filed under the name Streptomyces decoyicus. RNAcentral describes it as "c-di-AMP sequence". It matches the Rfam family "c-di-AMP riboswitch aptamer (ydaO/yuaA leader)". From Rfam's summary of the family: This family represents a conserved RNA structure found upstream of the ydaO and yuaA genes in Bacillus subtilis and related genes in other bacteria. The record is from RNAcentral. Lineage: Bacteria; Bacillati; Actinomycetota; Actinomycetes; Kitasatosporales; Streptomycetaceae.